RNAcentral lists this ribosomal RNA (250 nucleotides) under uncultured bacterium. Its description in RNAcentral is "partial 16S ribosomal RNA". It matches the Rfam family "Bacterial small subunit ribosomal RNA", at positions 524 to 773 of the family's 1533-position model. The record is from RNAcentral.
UACGGGGGGGGCAAGCGUUGUUCGGAAUUACUGGGCGUAAAGGGCUCGUAGGCGGCCCUCUAAGUCACACGUGAAAUCCCCCGGCUCAACCGGGGAACUGCGUGUGAGACUGGGGGGCUAGAGUUUGGGAGAGGAAUGCGGAAUUCCAGGUGUAGCGGUGAAAUGCGUAGAUAUCUGGAGGAACACCGGUGGCGAAGGCGGCAUUCUGGACCAACACUGACGCUGAGGAGCGAAAGCCAGGGGAGCAAAC